Centruroides sculpturatus (bark scorpion) is the source of this 178-nucleotide long non-coding RNA. RefSeq lists it as uncharacterized. Lineage: Eukaryota; Metazoa; Arthropoda; Arachnida; Scorpiones; Buthidae. The transcript has 2 exons. The record is from RefSeq and is a predicted model, not a curated record.
CUUUAAAUUACAAUGAAAAGUUGAUUUAGUGUAUCUUUUUAAAUUUUGAUAAAUAUAUAUCGCUGGAGAACAUAUAAUUUAUAUGCAAUAUCUAAUCAUAGUGGCUCAACUUCUUCAGGUCAUUAUACAGCUUUUUGUAAAAAUCCUUAUUCAGGACAGUGGCAGGAAUUUAACGAUA